CAGCUCUUCGAGUGGUGUGGAUGUUUAUUGGGCCUAAAGCAUCCGUAGCUGGCUGAGUUAGUCCCCUGUUAAAUCCACCGAAUUAAUCGUUGGAUUGCGGGGGAUACUGCUCGGCUAGGGGACGAGAGAGGUCGACGGUAUUUCCGGGGUAGGGGUGAAAUCCUAUAAUCCCGGGAGGACCACCAGUGGCGAAGGCUGUCGACUAGAACGCGCCCGACGGUGAGGGAUGAAAGCUGGGGGAGCAAACCGGAUUAGAGACCCGAGUAGUCC
This 270-nucleotide ribosomal RNA is filed under the name uncultured archaeon. RNAcentral's name for it is "partial 16S ribosomal RNA". It matches the Rfam family "Archaeal small subunit ribosomal RNA", at positions 477 to 747 of the family's 1478-position model. The record is from RNAcentral.